Non-coding RNA from Podarcis muralis (Common wall lizard), 5222 nucleotides. The record is from RefSeq and is a predicted model, not a curated record. NCBI's taxonomy places the organism in Eukaryota, Metazoa, Chordata, Lepidosauria, Squamata, Lacertidae.
ACGGGGCCCGGCCGCGCUACGCCCGCCUGCCUUUCUCUCGCCGCCCGCCGCGGGCGCUCUUGCGGCCAGCGCGCAGGGCGCCCGGCAGUCGCCACCGCGUGGGCCGCGGCUCCCUCCCUCCCCUGGGGGCCGCCCGGCUAGGACACGUGUCCUUGGAGCAGGCGGGCCGGGGCCUGGCUUCCUGCUUGCCAUCCUGGCCGGCGCGACGCGCGGGGGAACCUCGGAGGGGAAGAAAGGCCACCCUCCACCCCCGGAGGAGGAAGGUCUCGAGGUUUGGGGCUCUCUUUUUUUUGCGCCCAUGUGCCACCGGCGGAGUUUAGGAGCUGAGGCUGAGAGUGUGACUUCCCCAAGGCCAUUUGGAUUUGCAAGCAAACAACAAAGGAGCAAAAUAAGCAGGGUGCCUGUCCAGACAUCGCAAGAACUCAAGGUAAAUUGUUUCUUCCUGCCUUGUUUCUCUCAGUGGCAGCAGGGCACCAUGCUGCUCAUUCUCAAUAAAGCACAGUAAGCUAGGAGCCCUUCCCUAUCAUGAUGUGGUCGAUCAAAAGUUUUAAGUUGGAGGCGUCAAAGGAAAGGGAGACAAGCAAGGUCUGAAAGGGAACAGUGGGGAGCAAAUUUGAUUAAAUGUGCUUGGGCUUUAUUUUUGUUAGGAUAGGAGUUAUGGUGUUAACCCAGCUUUCUCCAACUUGUUGCCUUGUAGAGGUUUUGAACUGCAGCUCCCAUCUUCUCCUGAUAGCAGUGCACGUAUCUCAUAUCUUACGCAGGGUUUAGUUUCUGGGGGUCCAUGUAUAUAAAUGCGUACUGCCAGGAAUUUCCGGAACCAGGCUCCCUGCAUGGUGGAGGACCUCUUGCCCAACUUCAGGAAAUAGGCGGAAAGGGCUCUGGCAGUGUCCCAGAGCCCUUCCGUGGCCGCUUUGUUGUGAGGGUUUUGGCAGGAUCCUAGAGUCCUCCCACCUCCUUCUCAAAGCCUAGUAAGUGCUUGCCCAGCUUUGGGGAGGAGGCAGGAGGCAUCUAGAACCAUGCCAGAGACGUUGCACCACCUCCCCAAAGUCUGGAGCCUCCCUUUGCUGGCGAGGGCUCUGGGCUGCCUGGUAAGCCCAUAAUGGUGGGCAGGGAAUAAAUAAAAUGAAGAAUGGGUUUCCUCCGCUCUCCAUUUUAUUUUUAAUUUCCCCCACCCACACAAAGCUGUGAACACAAGUAAAAUAAUGUAAGAUUGUGAGUUAUCUGUAGUCCUAAAUAUCUGGAGCACUCCAGGCUAAGGAAAGCUGUGUUAAGCAGUUGGCUUCAGUGGAGAAAGGUAUUUCUUUGAGAGGAGAUUUGUAGGAAGAUAGACUAGUCAGGGCAGUUGCAGUGCCUGCCUGAGCACCUGUGGAAGAAGUUUUAUUGAACCAGUGAAUAGGAAGCUGCUGUAAGCAGCCACAAAACAAAGAGUACAAUUCCUGCUUUGUCAAAUGCUACUUACGAAGUCGUGGGCAUCUUGCAUUCUCCAUUGGCGGUUUUCCAUUUGUGGCAUGUUCACCCACAAAUGGAAAUUCUGCAGUUGGAUUAAUUUCUGCAGCCUCGUUUCCUAAACUCCUAUUAUACCUGUUCCUUAUUGCCCAUUUUCAGUGCUUUGAGGCAGAACUCUCAACAUGCCAACCCCACGUUAAACUACAUUGCAUGGGUUGCAACGCAUGUAAGUGAAGCAAGAUUGAAUUUGCUGUCUGCUCGGUUUUAGCACAGCCCAGAUGAGCCAAGCAAGUGAGCUAAUUCAGUGUUCCCAUGCAGCAUCCUUGGGCAGCUGGCAUGGGCCCCAGGGCCCUGGCAUGGCCUGUCACCCUUAACGUCCCCAGGGACCCUCUUAAUGCUCCCCCUUUGUGUUCUAUACUGGUGGCCGCCAUGUAAAAUCCUUGGAAUGGCCUGGAGUAAUUCUAAAUCAAGAGCAUCAUGAAAAAUUAAAAUGGUGGCAGCCUGGUGACAAAUCAAAAGGGUGCCACCCCAGGUAGGCCUGGCAGGAGGUGUUCAUCAGAGGGCACCCUGUAACAAAUUAUUCCCAAAAUAAAACUUUCACCAGGGUGGAGGGGUUGAGAAGGAAGCCAUGCCAUAUCUCCUGAGCAUUUGCAGUGCAUUGGCGCCAAUCCUCAAUAGAUGGGUUGCUUGCUGUUUCUUACAGAUCCUGGUGAAGCCAAUUGCCCUGGACAUCACAGUCCCCACCCCUUCCAAAACUUAAGUCGUUUCUGAGGGAGCAUCAAGACCUUCUGUCCGUCCUUGCUGUUAAAGAUGGAAUUCAUUUCCUUGUUCCCCUCAGUCCUAGCACAGAAACCUCCCCAAGUUUUGGGUUGGACAUUGCAAGCUCUUGCACCACUACAGGCCUCCUUAGUGUGCUUUAGGUCAUGUACUGUUCUCUCUGAGCCCCACUUUCCACCCGAGACUUCUUGCUUGUGCACCUGAAAAUUUAGAACGCUAGUGCAGCAGAUGUGUUUCUUCCACGUAAUGUUUAUUGGGUGCCUGAGAGCUGUGUAACAUGGUGAUGAUAUGAUAUUUAUUUAUUUAUACAUACAUACAUACAUACAUACAUACAUACCCCACCCAUCUGGCUGGGUUUCCCCAGCCACUCUCAGUAACCCUAAGAAAGGAAUUCAAAGUGAGGAAAGAGCAGAGAAAUGUGCCCCUCUUUUUUAUUUUUAAAAGGGAGGAGUCUGUAUCACUGUUCCUAAACUUUUAUGUUGACUGUGCUCCACCACCUUCAUAGAGCCUUGCUUUCAGUUUCUGAAAACAUAAGUGGGAAAUUCCCAUACCAUUUUACUGAAAAUAGCCUUUUCUAUCCUGGGGAUCAUAGUUCUGUCCAUUGAAGCAUAAAGACAAGCCCCCCGGAGCAAGAUCAGAGAUGCCUUGCACCGCUUCCCAUCGAUCGGCAAGUACUGAUCAUGAUAUAUCAAGGUGAAUUUUGGAACCUCACAGUUCAUUUGGCAAAAGAGGAUUCUAAUGUGCCUCUCACCCAUGCCCGCCCCCAAAUGGGGUGUCGUUUGUGAUGGCUGGUGACCUAGUCCAUGCAGACUGACCUUUUGAUUUCACAAGUUUGGGAGCAUUUGGGCAGCCUAAGGCCAGAGUGGCUAUUGAUUUUUGCCAGUGAAAUAACCAGUGCCACUGUGGUCUCUUCCCAGAGGAGCUUGCAUCAUCAUUGGACCCCAACUCUUGACAAACAGGUCGGGGAAGUUUCCUUUUCCCGCAUGUGGGUGUUGUCUCACUUGCUGCUUUGCUUUGGUUGGCAAUUAGGGUUUGGGUUGUUGUUUUUUUUAAAGGAAGGGGAUCUACACCAACAGCAAACCUUAGCAUUUUUGUAAAAGUUUAGAAUUUGGAAAAGGUGUUUUGCAUUCAGCACCCCAGCAAUUUUGCGGCAAUCCUGUCAAGGUAGGCCAGAAUUACUACCAAUGCGUGGCUGAUGGGAGGACUUGCAGAAAACGCAACAGAUUCCUGGCACGGGUGUGAUUUGGAUCUGGUGGCAAUAAGGUCCGCUGCUGCUUGGUCCCUGUGCUGCCCUUGCAGGGAAGGGCCAGCAUCUGGAGACAGAAGAGGGGGAAUCAGAGAAUUGUAGAAGGCACCAUGAGGGUCAUCUAGUCCAACCCCCUGCAAUGCCCAAUGUGAGGCUCGAACCCACAACCCUGAGAUUAAAGGGUCUCAUGCUUGUGCCCUACUGACUGAGCUAUUGCUGGUCUUAACUGGACAGGAAGAGCCAGGAUGUUGACAAGGAAUAAAGAGGGGGGAUGUGGCAAGUAGAGUUCUUAAUUCCAAAGCUUGUUAGGAAGGAGGUGAGCUCCAGUCAUCUCCAGUCAUGGGUGUGGUGAAGCUGGGUGGAAAAAAGCAUUCACAGCUGAAAAAGGGGGCUGGGGAGGGAAUGGUUAUCUGCUCCUCCCAUUUGUUCCUUGAUGUGCUAAUGGACCCUGGAGCACAAGGGAGCUGCCUCUUGUUAAGUCUCCGCCUCCCUGCUUUGGCACUCUUUAACCUUUGAGGUGUUUGUUUAAUGGGCUUGGCCAUGCUAAUCGAUAUGAUGCCGGCAGACCUUGAGUGGCUGAAGUCUUGGGUGCUUGUGAAUUCGCCAGCAGCCAGCUGGCCGGCUUUUGUGGGGAGCAGUGUGUCUUUUCCUUCCAAUACAGGAGAGAGGAGGACCCACUGCUUGGGGUAGCAGUUGGGUCAAAGUCCUGGAAUAGCUCCCUUCAAAAAUAUGACCUGCAUAUCCCUUUGACGGCAAUGAUCUUUGUGGAUUGGUGCUAACACCUUAAUGGUUACCCUUGGUGAUGGUAGCGGAGCCUUUUCUUCUCCUCCCAACCCUGCAAUAUUUUGGACAACUUUUUCCAUUUAUAUCAUGCCCUUCCUUCAAAGGAUAUCAGGGCUGCAAACAUAGCAGCGAUAAAACAGUUAAAAAAUAAAAGCAUAGUUGAAAACGGUCGCCUAAUCUCACAGCUGAUAAUUUCAGGGUUGCUGGGAAUGUUAUCUUUUAGCCAUUAAAUGCCUAAGUAGACUGGAGCGCUUUAAAAUUCCUCCUAGAUGUGGCUAAUAAGGAAUACCUACACACCUCACGAGGAAGGGCACUCCCCAAAUGGAGAAGUGCCACCGAGAAGGCCCUGCCACUGGUCAAUGCCAACCGCAUGCCACCACCAAGUUGGCUUCCCCUGCCAAGUGUAGGGCCCCAAAGUGGGUGAUACUGGGGCAGCCGCUCUUUAAAGAACUUGAGUCCAAAACCUUUUAGUGCUAACACGGUAGCUCACUGGUAGGCAGUGGAGGACUGGUGGCAAGGGAUCCCAACAGGUUGGACCACUUGCCAACCUGGCAGUCACACUAUGCUGGCUGCAGUCUCUGGACGUGGGGCAGCCCCAUAUAGAGUGCAAUGCAGUGGUUCAGGUGGGAGGUCACCUGAGAUUGGCUGGUCCAGGAACUUCCAUAGCUGGUGAAACAACCUAAGUUGGGCAUAAGCACUCCUAGCCACAGAAGCCACUUGAGACUCCAGUAACAUGUUGAGUAACUCCAGUAACAUGUUGGAAUCCAUGAGUUCUCCCAGGCUACAAACCUGUUCCUUCAGGGUUGUGCAACUCCUCUCAUAACUGGUUGCCUACCUAAUUCCCGGACACAGGAACCACCCACCCACAGAACCUCCAUCUUCUCGGGUUUCUCCCAGACACAGGUCCCGAUGUCCUCACUUUCGAAAAUGUAUUUAGUGUACUGUCUCUUGCCGCUCCUGAGUUUUUUGC